GGUAAGUUAGCUAAUUGGUGAAGCGGCUGACUGUUAAUCAGUGAUAGAGUGGUUCGAGUCCACUACUUACCGCCA
This 75-nucleotide transfer RNA is filed under the name Shigella virus Moo19. Its description in RNAcentral is "tRNA-Asn". It matches the Rfam family "tRNA". Rfam says of the family: Transfer RNA (tRNA) molecules are approximately 80 nucleotides in length. Lineage: Duplodnaviria; Heunggongvirae; Uroviricota; Caudoviricetes; Schitoviridae. The record is from RNAcentral.